GGGGGCAAGCGUUAUCCGGAUUUACUGGGUGUAAAGGGAGCGUAGACGGUUACGCAAGUCUGAAGUGAAAGGCGGGGGCCCAACCCCCGGACUGCUUUGGAAACUGUGAAACUGGAGUGCAGGAGAGGUAAGUGGAAUUCCUAGUGUAGCGGUGAAAUGCGUAGAUAUUAGGAGGAACACCAGUGGCGAAGGCGGCUUACUGGACUGUAACUGACGUUGAAGCACGAAAGCGUGGGUAUCGAAC
RNAcentral lists this ribosomal RNA (244 nucleotides) under uncultured bacterium. Its description in RNAcentral is "partial 16S ribosomal RNA". It matches the Rfam family "Bacterial small subunit ribosomal RNA", at positions 530 to 773 of the family's 1533-position model. The record is from RNAcentral.